UUAUAAAUAUAUACUACAUUUUACAUUUUUACAAUUUUUUUAAAACAUGAGUAUUCGUACAUCCAAGUUGAUUAGUCGCCACAUUUUAAAGGCUAUAGCAAUCCUAGAAGGCCCACGCCGAAAAUUCAUUCCUGUUGCAGAAGUAGCAAAGCAAAUAAAAAUACAGUUCCGAAGACAUCCACAUCUACUAGACAAUGAGGAUAUGCUACUUCGAUCCCUUGCGUACUUAACUUCUCGUGGAUUUAUUGUUUUUCGAAAAUCGCGUAAUCAUUCGUACUUGACAGCACGCAGCAAUUUGCGAGCUCAAAAAUUACCAAAAAUAAACUCAUUAAGAUGCUGCAGAUGUGGAAAAAGUGUGACCGGAACUAAUGCAGAAAUACGGGAAAACACAAAUACGCUAAUCAAUAACUUGUUGGAUAUUUUAAACUAUUUAAUAAGCGACAUGCAUAUAAAUUCAAAUGAUUCAAUGGAUUCACCUGAUUCAAUGGAUUUGGUUUUACCUGAUUCAUCGGUUUCACCUGAAUGAAAAAAAUGGCAAGCGCAUUGCUUUUUUUUGGCAUAUGUGCAAUACAUUGUUGUAUACAAAUAAAGAGCUGUUGCUUAAAAGCAAACAGUGCGAGCAUGAA
Drosophila innubila is the source of this 626-nucleotide long non-coding RNA. RefSeq lists it as uncharacterized. The record is from RefSeq and is a predicted model, not a curated record. Lineage: Eukaryota; Metazoa; Arthropoda; Insecta; Diptera; Drosophilidae. The transcript has 2 exons.